UGCAAGUCGAACGGGAUUUCGGGUAGCAAUAUCUGGAUGAGAGUGGCGCACGGGUGCGUAACGCGUAUGCAACUUACCUCUAACUGGGGAAUAGCCUUCCGAAAGGAAGAUUAACACCGCAUAAUGCAUCGAUGAAGCAUUUCAUUGAUGCCAAAACUCAGGUGGUUAGAGAUAGGCAUGCGUUCGAUUAGCUAGUUGGUGAGGUAACGGCUCACCAAGGCUACGAUCGAUAGGGGGUCUGAGAGGAUGAUCCCCCACACUGGUACUGAGACACGGACCAGACUCCUACGGGAGGCAGCAGUAAGGAAUAUUGGACAAUGGGCGCAAGCCUGAUCCAGCCAUGCCGCGUGCAGGAUUAAGGCCCUAUGGGUUGUAAACUGCUUUUGGCGGGGAAAAAACCCUCUCACGUGUGAGAGGCUGAUGGUACCCGCAGAAUAAGGAUCGGCUAACUCCGUGCCAGCAGCCGCGGUAAUACGGAGGAUCCAAGCGUUAUCCGGAUUUAUUGGGUUUAAAGGGUGCGUAGGCGGAUUAGUAAGUCAGUGGUGAAAGCCCGCAGCUUAACUGUAGAAUUGCCAUUGAUACUGCUAGUCUUGAAUGUAGUUGAGGUGGGCGGAAUAUGACAUGUAGCGGUGAAAUGCUUAGAUAUGUCAUAGAACACCGAUUGCGAAGGCAGCUCACUAAGCUAUGAUUGACGCUGAGGCACGAAAGCGUGGGGAGCAAACAGGAUUAGAUACCCUGGUAGUCCACGCCCUAAACUAUGAUUACUCGAUGUUGGCGAUACACAGUCAGCGUCUAAGCGAAAGCGUUAAGUAAUCCAYCUGGGGAGUACGCCCGCAAGGGUGAAACUCAAAGGAAUUGACGGGGCCCGCACAAGCGGAGGAGCAUGUGGUUUAAUUCGAUGAUACGCGAGGAAY
This 914-nucleotide ribosomal RNA is filed under the name uncultured bacterium. RNAcentral describes it as "bacterial SSU rRNA". It matches the Rfam family "Bacterial small subunit ribosomal RNA", at positions 56 to 969 of the family's 1533-position model. The record is from RNAcentral.